GGCUCAGAACGAACGCUGGCGGCGUGCUUAACACAUGCAAGUCGAACGAACCUUCGGGUUAGUGGCGGACGGGUGAGUAACGCGUGAGAAUCUGCCCUCAGGAGGGGGAUAACGGUUGGAAACGACCGCUAAUACCCCAUAUGCCGAGAGGUGAAAAGAAAUUCGCCUGAGGAUGAGCUCGCGUCUGAUUAGCUAGUUGGUGUGGUAAUGGCGCACCAAGGCUUCGAUCAGUAGCUGGUCUGAGAGGAUGAUCAGCCACACUGGGACUGAGACACGGACCAGACUCCUACGGGAGGCAGCAGUGG
This 305-nucleotide ribosomal RNA is filed under the name uncultured bacterium. Its description in RNAcentral is "bacterial SSU rRNA". It matches the Rfam family "Bacterial small subunit ribosomal RNA", at positions 21 to 357 of the family's 1533-position model. The record is from RNAcentral.